RNAcentral lists this non-coding RNA (47 nucleotides) under unclassified sequences. Its description in RNAcentral is "DUF3800-XI RNA". It matches the Rfam family "DUF3800-XI RNA". From Rfam's summary of the family: Actinobacteria, Firmicutes, Proteobacteria, Spirochaetes (1 example). Nearby to DUF3800 The record is from Rfam by way of RNAcentral.
UGGGCUGGCCGAAAGGCCCAGGUCCACCGGAGGCGGGGGCAUUCCCC